GCUGAGAAUGUGAUAAUGAGGUGCCUGAGUGUGAUAUUGAGGUGCCUGCUGGGAGUGUGAUAAUGAGGUGCCUGCUGAGAGUGAUAACGAGGUGCCUGCUGAGAGUGUGAUAUUGAGGUGCCUGCUGAGAGUGAUAACGAGGUGCCUGCUGAGAGUGUGAUAAUGAGGUGCCUGCUGAGAGUGUGAUAAUGAUGUAUGUGUUUUACGAGCAGGGUUAGGUGUGUUUUAUGAGCAGGGUUAGGUGUGUUUUAUGAGCAGGGUUAGGUGCGUUUUAUGAGCAGGGUUAGGUGUGUUUUAUGAGCAGGGUUAGGUGUGUUUUAUGAGCAGGGUUAUGUGUGUUUUAUGAGCAGUAUGUAUCUCUCAGUGGCUGAAAUUAGAACAUGAUGACUGACAGUUUGUU
Long non-coding RNA from Oncorhynchus tshawytscha (Chinook salmon), 400 nucleotides. The record is from Ensembl. Lineage: Eukaryota; Metazoa; Chordata; Actinopteri; Salmoniformes; Salmonidae.